RNAcentral lists this unclassified non-coding RNA (331 nucleotides) under soil metagenome. Its description in RNAcentral is "partial contains 5.8S ribosomal RNA, internal transcribed spacer 2, and large subunit ribosomal RNA". The stretch from base 1 to 120 matches the Rfam family "5.8S ribosomal RNA", at positions 35 to 154 of the family's 154-position model. The record is from RNAcentral.
GAUGAAGAACGCAGCGAAAUGCGAUAAGUAAUGUGAAUUGCAGAAUUCAGUGAAUCAUCGAAUCUUUGAACGCACAUUGCGCCCCCUGGUAUUCCGGGGGGCAUGCCUGUUCGAGCGUCAUUUCACCACUCAAGCCUCGCUUGGUAUUGGGCAACGCGGUCCGCCGCGUGCCUCUAAUCGACCGGCUGGGUCUUCUGUCCCCUAAGCGUUGUGGAAACUAUUCGCUAAAGGGUGUUCGGGAGGCUACGCCGUAAAACAACCCCAUUUCUAAGGUUGACCUCGGAUCAGGUAGGGAUACCCGCUGAACUUAAGCAUAUCAAUAAGCGGAGGA